UCACACUUCAAUCUCCUCCGUGUCUUUCUUUUGUAAUCUUCAUUUUUCUCCUUUUUCACAUUAGCGUCACACACAGAUAAGAAAGAAUAUAUCGUCUGGUGUAAGAAGCAAGAGAGAUGGGAGAAACGAUGAGGGGAGAAGGGAUCGAGAGAGCGAUGAAAGGCGAUGGUAACCUCACAGACGUACGUUAUCUUUCUGGUUUGCUGUUAAACCUCAUCUGCCGCGAGGAAUUGCAAUGGAUACUUGGAGUUGCAGCGGCGCCCAGGAGGGCGGAGGUUGGUGGUGGGAUCGCUGCAGGAAGCGAGGUCCUAUGAUCAAACCUUUGCCGUUGCACCGAACCUCUUGGGGCCACGGUCCUAUGUAAGUGUCAAAGAUCCAAACACCCUUGGUAUUAAAAAAAAAAAUUGAGAGGACACAUGCUUGUAUCUUCAACACACCUUAUUUUUAAGCGUUUCAUGUACCAAUAAGACAAUGUUCUUCUUCUCUUAAAUUAAUAAAAAAUAAGCAUUAUCCAUUCAUGUUA
Molecule: long non-coding RNA, 523 nt
Organism: Macadamia integrifolia
Lineage: Eukaryota; Viridiplantae; Streptophyta; Magnoliopsida; Proteales; Proteaceae
Exons: 2
Source: RefSeq, a predicted model, not a curated record